Molecule: long non-coding RNA, 1548 nt
Organism: Physeter macrocephalus (sperm whale)
Lineage: Eukaryota; Metazoa; Chordata; Mammalia; Artiodactyla; Physeteridae
Exons: 5
Source: RefSeq, a predicted model, not a curated record
GGGCAGCGAGGGCGCCGAAGGUACGAGCUGGGGAGACUGGACUGGUGUCUGGAGUGGCGAAAGAAAAUCAGUUUCCGUGCCUCCUAAAGAGAGGAGUAAAAUGAAGUGCCGGGUAGCUCUCGGUGCCUUUCCCUGAACGGGAGUGCGGAGCUGCCGGCAGGCAUCUGGGGCCGGCGGGCUGGUGCACCUGCACUUCGUUUUGCUUUUGCAGGUGAAGACGUUUUCCCCGAGCCGGCCGCGGGGCCUUUGCUUUCUUUUGGAAAUCUCAGAAAUCACGAGAACUCUAGGCGGCUUGACGUUUGCAAACCAACUGAAUAGCGGCAGAAAGUUUUCAUAGGCAGGUCAGCCGGGCCAUUUUGAAGUGUGUCCCAGAGCACAACGUUUAAAAUUAUACGGAGCCCUCAUCCGCUUUACUUUCUGGCUGGUUUGACUGUAACAGGUCUCAGAUAAAGACACUGAGCCAUCAAAGGAAAAACAUUCACCUGAGAUCAUCCCCCAUCGCCCCUCAUGUGAUGGAACGGAGAGUCACAAAACAGAGUAGAAUAACUGAAUACCCGAGACGAUCACCAACAUUUCCAUUAUACGUCUGACAUCUCAGCUAACAGUUGCCGGCCUGGAACUCCUCUCCCCAGAUGCUGCCCUGAAAGAGGACUGUUCCCUGUUCUUCACUCCCACACCCAGAAAGAACAGGAGAUGGAAGAGAGUCGGCCUGGUGUAUUUAGAAGCCCGACUUCCCUGUAUGAUUGGAGGGCCGUGUUCUUGACCAAGACAAAAAAGAGAUGCAGCAAGAAAGAAAAGACAAGGAGAUGAUCUUACAAAUCUACUACAGGCAGGAAAUGUGCUUUGAGUAUUUUGAAGGGUUGGGUUAUUUUUGCAAUUGUAGGGAGAGUUUUCACUGUCACAGCCAUGGUCCGUCACCACGUCCGGGCAGGUGUGAGGCCCUGCCUGUGCCCAUAGGAACCGAGUCACCUUCUCUGGGUAAGGCCGCGUGAUCCUCGUGAGGCUCAGAACGGGGUCCUUCCCUGUCAACACCGUGCUUUACCUAGCAAAGACAACCGGCUUAACUGCUCUGAAAAAUGCUGAAAGAAAGACCUCUUGAAAACAGCCAGAAGGCCCUACCUGUCCAAAAUUUUCCAUUUAGAAAAGCCUCUGCAAUUUUUAGUCCUUCGUAAGAAUACAAAUAAGUCCAGAAGCAAUUGUUCACUUUUUCCUCACCUGGAGUUCCCACCCCACUGUCGCCAACUACAGAAAUUCCAUCCUUAAGACCUAGGCCAGAUGAAGUCCUUAUGAUCUCACCCACGCCGAAAAGAAGAUUCUUGUCAUCUUCCGCUGCCCUCUGGCCCUAUGAGACAAGCCCCUCCGAACACACCUGGCUGUUGUACUCUGUCCCCUAAUUGCCAAGCCUCAGGGUCCCCCUGCUGAACGAGACAGCCAGGCCUGGUGGCUCUGGACCCGGUGGGAAACUCUCUCCUCUCAGGCUUCCGCCGCUGUGCUGCCGUCCUGGAUUCGUUUCUGCUUUUCUCACCAUUCCUUCUCUGUUUUCCUAUU